AUUAUUAUACCGAAGCUAACGUUAACUUACUUAAAUGUGCGAUCCGUGACAUUUUCUGUGAUAAUUGGUUUUGGUAUUUGGGGGCGCCUAAUCACAUGCAGUCUAGGAUCCCGCAAGACUAUUGAAAUGAAGUGGAUUACUGAGUUGGUAGUUAGUUUGGUACUGGUUGCGGUAACUGCAAUGCGAAGAUGUCGGUAUUGUGUUAGUCAGUGUAGGCCAAAUGAGGUGGUAAGAUCAAUUUGCUUCGUUAGAGGAUUUGUUUGUUGUCCUGCUUAAAUGAAUCAAAAUAAAGAUUAUGUUCUCUGCCUU
Molecule: long non-coding RNA, 309 nt
Organism: Photinus pyralis (common eastern firefly)
Lineage: Eukaryota; Metazoa; Arthropoda; Insecta; Coleoptera; Lampyridae
Exons: 3
Source: RefSeq, a predicted model, not a curated record